Heterocephalus glaber (naked mole-rat) is the source of this 2443-nucleotide long non-coding RNA. RefSeq lists it as uncharacterized. Lineage: Eukaryota; Metazoa; Chordata; Mammalia; Rodentia; Bathyergidae. The record is from RefSeq and is a predicted model, not a curated record.
CCUUCAGGGAGUGAGGAAUUUCUCAUUGUGUGGGAGAAAGUGAGGUCACUAGGACAGUGACCUUGGAAGGGUAAUGGGACCCAGCGUCCCCUUCCUGUCUCUUCCUUGAGAGUCACGCUGCUACAGGCCUGAAGAGAACAUCUGCAUUAUCAUCUGUAAAUACAGAAACCUUUACAUCAGGACAGCACAUAUCCAAUCUAGAUGGACCCACAUGACACGUGUGCUCAGAAGUCCCGCGUGAGGCGCUCGGGUAACGAUGCGCACUUUCCAUAUGCGCCAUCUUGGCCCUGAGCUCCACUCUCCCUCCCUGAAGAAACUGAAUGCAAACGGAAGUCUUCACCUGACAGCCUGGUUCCAAUUAGGGACCUGGACGCGUCUCAAAGACUCAGCAAGGCAUCAUCAGAGCAUAAUAAAUAUACCAUGUCAAGACUCUACAAUCCUUCCAAGUGGAUCAUUUCCUCAUUUUCCCUCAACCUCAAUUCCUUCCUUUUUGAAACAGCUCUGCUGAGGUGUAAAAUGCACCUACUGAGCAUCCAGAGUUUGCUCCCAUCUGGUCCGGAAGGUGCAUGUGGGAGUGUGGACAGCGAGGCAGCCAUCAGAAGAUCUUGGGCAGCACCAGUUUCCAGCUGGGUGACACUGGGCAGGAGGCAACUUUCGUUUCAUUUCCAAGCUGAGCUCCUAAUUUCUACUAAGGGGCUACACUGAAGCAUGUACUUCUCCCGGUAGAAUGCCCACUGCAUAUAGAAAGCUCUAAUUUCUGGGCAUACAGAAGGCACAAUAUCUUUUCCUGUGCUUUUCCUUUUUUACAUUUUUGUAAGUGGCACACAGUACUGAUACAAUGUAAUUCAGUGUACAUUAUUUAUACAUUGUGUGAUGGUCAAAUGAGGGCAAUUAGCAUUUCCAUUUCCUUAAACAUUUAUUAUAUCUUUGUGGCAGGAGACUUGAAACUUCCCUAGUUCCAUGUAAGGUACAUAACAAGUGGUUGUGAACUCCAUGCAACCUACUGUGCUGUAAACAUUAGAAUUAAUUCCUCUUAUUUAAAUGGAUUUAGGUACUCAUUAUCCAACAUCCCUCUUCUCUGCUACCCUCUGCAGCCUCUACUCACCAUUAUUCUAUGCUCGAAUUCUAUGAAAUCACUUCUUCAGCUCCCAAGCCUAAGUGACCCAUGUGAUACUUGGCUUUCUGUGUCUGACUCACGUCACUGCAGAUCAUACCCUUCAGUCCCAUUCACACUGCUAAAGACAGGAGGGCUGCAUCUUCUAUGUUUUGUUCCUGGACAAUAUUCCACUGUGUGCUGCACCAUAUCCUCACCCUCCACGCAUUCCUCUGUAGCAGUGAUGGCGAACCUUUUAGAGCUUUCAACGAUACAAACAGCUCACUGUAGCACAUGUGCCAUAGGUUCGCCACCACUGAUCUUAACAUCACAGUGGAUUCUACAUCUCAGGUCCUCUGAGGGGUGCUCUGUAGACAUGGGCACAGGCAGCUCUUGGAUCUGCUCACUCCAUUUCUUCUGGAUAUAUGCCUGGGAGUGGAUAGCUGGAUCUUAGGGCACCUUCUAUUUCCAGGGCUUUGAGGAAUUUCCAUAGACUUGUGGCCCCUCCCUUAUUACUGCCAAUUUCUCCUCUUUAGAAGUAGAGAACUUGUUUUUUUGGUUUCAUAGGUCUACAGGUGGUGGGGGAUUUUGUCCCUGGAUAAAUGGUGCCCAGGGUUUCAGUAAUGCAGAUAACGAAGACGAUGAAGAACUGAUGAAGUUGACUUGAGAUUUAAGCCUAAUGUGAGGAGUUGAGACUUUGAGGCAUGUUGGGGUAGGGUGAAUGUAUUUCACACACAGAAUGGGCAUCAAUGUUUGGGGCUAGAGGGCAGACUGUGUGGGUGAGUGGUGACCCCCCCCCCCGACACAUCUUCAUCUCCUAAAAUUGUACACGUGACCUAACUUGGAAAAAGUCUUCGUAGAUGUCAUUAAAGAUCCAGAGAUGAAGACACGCUAGAUUUUGCGGUAGGCCCUACAUCCAAACAUCUGUGCACUCAUUGAUUCCAAAGGACAGAUGCGACAGAGAUGAGGAAAGGCCGCAAAAGGGGGCAGAGAUCCCAGGGAGGUGGCCAGAAGCCCAGUAGAGUGCUAGCUGCCAGUACUGAAGACACAGGGACGGAACCCCCCACCCCCAGGCCUCCAAGGAGAGGAGUGACCCCACAGUGCCUUAAUUUUGGACUUCUGGUCUUUGGGCUAGGAAAGAGCAAUUGUCUGGUGGUUUAAGAUACACAAUAUGGAGUAAUUUCUUAUGUCAACCACUACCAUGUUACCAUCUACCCAUAUAGGUACUUUCUUUAAAAGAAAAAACUUGCUAAUUUGAUAUAUGUCCAAAAUUUAUCCCUUCAAUCUGUAUGUUAUCUAUUUAGAACUGGUACUGACUUUAAAAAUAUUAAACAUCUUAAUAUAUUUUCA